AACAACAACGGAGAGGAAUACCAAGAAGGAGCAAAGAGUGACACUGGAGAUUCUCUUGGCACUGCUAGGAAGAAAGGUGAAAGGAAAUGUGUAUUCAACCAAGGUGAACUGGAUGCUUUGGAAUACCAUUCAAAUAUGAAAAGGAUGUCAAGCACCCCCAGAAUAUUGUUAAUGAAAACAGACUCCCACUUUCUGUGUAUGAAUUUCUAG
RNAcentral lists this long non-coding RNA (210 nucleotides) under Cyanistes caeruleus (blue tit). RNAcentral's name for it is "lncRNA (ENSCCEG00000018704.1)". Lineage: Eukaryota; Metazoa; Chordata; Aves; Passeriformes; Paridae. The record is from RNAcentral.